Non-coding RNA from Phrynosoma platyrhinos (Desert horned lizard), 72 nucleotides. The record is from the annotation of a GenBank genome assembly. Lineage: Eukaryota; Metazoa; Chordata; Lepidosauria; Squamata; Phrynosomatidae.
GCCGGUGUGGUGUAGUGGUUUGAGUGUUGGACUACAACUCUGGAGACCAGGGUUCAAUUCUCCACUCAGCCA